CAGUGACCGAUAGCGGAUUAGUACCGUGAGGGAAUGGUGAAAAGUACCCCGGGAGGGGAGUGAAAUAGUACCUGAAACCGUGUGCCUACAAUCCGUCAGAGCCCUCGACUUUGUUGUGGGGUGAUGGCGUGCCUUUUGAAGAAUGAGCCUGCGAGUCAGGGACAUGUCGCGAGGUUAACCCGGGUGGGGUAGCCGCAGCGAAAGCGAGUCUGAAUAGGGCGUAUCCAAUUCAUAGGGAUUGGUGUAGUGGUGUGUUCUGGACCCGAAGCGGAGUGAUCUACCCAUGGCCAGGGUGAAGCAGCAGUAAGAUGUUGUGGAGGCCCGAACCCACUUAGGUUGAAGACUGAGGGGAUGAGUUGUGGGUAGGGGUGAAAGGCCAAUCAAACUCCGUGAUAGCUGGUUCUCCCCGAAAUGCAUUUAGGUGCAGCGUUACACGUUUCUUGUUGGAGGUAGAGCUACUGGAUGGCCGAUGGGCCCUACUAGGUUACUGACGUCAGCCAAACUCCGAAUGCCGACAAGUCAAAGAGUGUGGCAGUGAGACGGCGGGGGAUAAGUUCCGUGCGUCGAGAGGGAAACAGCCCAGAUCGCCGGCUAAGGCCCCUAAGCGUGUGCUAAGUGGAAAAGGAUGUGCAGUCGCGAAGACAACCAGGAGGUUGGCUUAGAAGCAGCCACCCUUGAAAGAGUGCGUAAUAGCUCACUGGUCAAGUGAUUGUGCGCCGAUAAUGUAGCGGGACUCAAGCACACCGCCGAAGCCGCGGCAACAGACC
RNAcentral lists this ribosomal RNA (767 nucleotides) under marine sediment metagenome. RNAcentral's name for it is "LSU rRNA". It matches the Rfam family "Bacterial large subunit ribosomal RNA", at positions 478 to 1214 of the family's 2925-position model. The record is from RNAcentral.